Molecule: long non-coding RNA, 2906 nt
Organism: Phyllopteryx taeniolatus (common seadragon)
Lineage: Eukaryota; Metazoa; Chordata; Actinopteri; Syngnathiformes; Syngnathidae
Exons: 3
Source: RefSeq, a predicted model, not a curated record
CAGCAAUGUGGAAGUUGGAAUCGUGAAAGUUGACGUAUUUUAAGACUUCCUGAAACACCUUCAAGUCCAUCUGAAAGGAGCGAGAGACAACCAUGUAAAGAAAACAAACAGGUCAAAGCGGACCGGAUGAACUCCGGCUGUCAAGCUGCAAUCUUACGGUGACUUAACAGUCAGUGAAGGGUAGCCAGCUAGCUUUUCGGAGCAUUUUCACGGACACCAGUCGAAGUUUCGUAUCAUUCACUCCCCUCCCAUGAGCUGCUUGGUGUAACCGUGUGUGAAGAAGCCGCCCCAUGUGGAGGCAGCCUGGCAGCUCCAUGACCCCGCAUGAUGUCUGCUCAUCAGCCUGCCAGAUGGAGGAGGAGUAAACUGAAGCGAGCGUGACAUCCAGUCAGCAGGUGACAAUUAUGGGCGUAAUUGAGACACGCUCCUUACUUCUAUUUUUUGGCUCUUCCUGUACGUUGCAAUUCCAACUCUCAUGUUUGAUUAGGUUCUUCCUCCAGGGCAGUAAUUUCCCUAUGAUUGAGCCCCUUGAAGUCUACCUGACAACAAUACCUCACAGUUGUUUUUUUUUUUUCUUUUUGUUUUUUUCCCAGACAUAAACAAUGAGAGGCCAGCACUUGGCCUAAUGGUUAGCAUGUCUACCUGACAGUUGCGUGCUUCUUGGUUUGAAUUGCCUUCCUGUGUGGACUUUGCAUGUUCUGCCCAUGGUUGCGUGUUUUUUUUUUUCUCAUGGUACUUCCCACGUUCCAAAAACAUGCAUGACAGGUUAAGGGUUAAGGGGACUUGUCAGUCAAACAAACACAUGAUUCCUAAGAAUCGCCUACUGGGAACUUUGUACAUCUACACUUGUACGAUAGUACGAAAAUAAUCUGGUUGUGAAUUAGAAUAGUGGUUAGUCAUGCCAUUUUUGGCUAUUCUGAACCCUGCUAGUCUUAAAAUAUUCAUACUACAGUACUGGUGGCGCGGAACGGGGGCAGCUUGUUAAACAGAAAAACAUGCCUCGGACUCCCACUAAUUACAACAACUGCAUUCAGCGUAAUGGUGAGUUGUUUGUUAAUCAUUUGUUUUCAAAAUCUGUCUUUACGUGAAACUCAUCCGUGGCACGAAGAAAGUUUGGAAGCGCUGUCUUGUGCUGAAAAAAAAAAACAGUGACGUCAUUAAUUGACUCCACUUCGACUUCCAUCACAUUAUGGUCGACUACAAAAAAUCUUUAGUCAUUCAACCCCUAUAUCCUUAUGAGGACAAGUACCACACACUGAAAAGUAGAGUAUUUACUGAAACUUACACAGUAGGUCAAGCGAAAGAGGCCAAUUUAAAUAAAUACAAUACAUUCUACUCUAUCUAAAGCCAUGAGCUCAAAAAUGCAUAGGCUCAGUUUGCGCAGAGAGCACAAAUGACAAUGUACAAUAUAUGUUACUGUUCAAAGUUUUUUUUCACGAAGAAUGUCCUCUAAGGUUAACAGCAGUUAACGUUUAUUGCAUUAAGCAUAAGUAUUGUAUGUCAUUCAAAGAGACUGUAUUGACAGGAAGAUGAUGUAUUGUGCAAUGUAAAUACUAAGGUAAAACAGCUGUGUGGCAAAGUCAAAUGGGUGUACAAUUAGAGAAUAAUAACAAAACAUUACAUUAAGCUGGCCGCAUGAUGGUUUAGUGGUUAGCAAGUCUGCCGGGGUCCAGCCUUUUGUUGUAAAUGGAUGUUAGCUACCCUAAUUAUAACAAGCAGUAUAGAAAAUGGUAAUUUGCAUGUGCGAAGUGUGCAAUCGACGCAAUGCGAAGGGUAUUUUUGAUACAGGCAAUAUUACCACCUAGGGCUGUCGUACUGGGUCCCAUUCAAGCCAGCACUGCUACUGUCUCCCCUUUGAUUCUUUUAUCAUGUAUGUUUUCACACCCCUAAUUUACUGCACUAUCUAAGCAUAUUGUCACAGAAGGGUUUUCAUGGCGUUUGAAGGCAAGACAAAAUGUGGCGCACCCAAGUGCAGGGAAGCAGGGAGGCAAGGCAGGAGUUCGGGAAUAUAAAAAAAAAUAAAAAUUGCCCAAAAAAGGCAAACAAGGAUCAAGGAGGUCACGCAAAAUUAACAAAAGUCCUAAAAUCUAAAUACAAAGUAACAAAGGGGGACAAAUAACUCACCACUACAAGACGGGACCAGGAUACAUGACAUAAGACAAGACUACCUUUAACACUCAACAUACACUAGUUGACAAUGAUCCUAACCAAGUACUAACCAGGCCCGAUCCUGUUUAGCUUCCGAGAACAGACGAUGGUGCAUUUUCAGGGUACUAUGACCGUAAGCUUGUUGAAGCCAGCAGGUGAGAUUUUGACUUACGCCUCCCUUCAACAGCCCACUGAUCCCACAAAGGAGCAACAACAAUCGAAGAGCAAAUUCCAUCUGUGCAAUGAUGGAAACAAAUUUUCAGAUUUUUAACAAUAUAUAUCAGCGUUAUAUUUAAUGUACAUCUGAACAUGCUGAAACAAACCAAAAAAAUUGUUAAUGCUGACAAGGUAAAUCGACUUUGAAAAGUAGGAUAUCAAGUCGUGUGAAGUUACUUUCGCAGUCGUGAGGCAUGCCGCUGAGGACAACGACGACGAGCAAUCCCUUUAUAGUUUAGGUUGACAGUCUUGUGUGUUGUACAUACCCAUAAUGGCAAUGUCACAUGACACAUCAGGUGUCUUUCCACUACAAUUAAAAUAUUCAUUAAAUUGAUUGUGUAAUUAAAAUCCAAGGAAAUAGUGGUACCCAAACAAUUAUCCAAAAGAUAACUACUAUUUUAUGUACACUUUAGCGAAUCUGUGGGUCAUCGUCGUUAAUGCUCCCUGGUUCACAAUUGUCCAUGCUGUUGUCCCUGUUUUCCUGCAUUACAAGUCCCCAAGAUAUCAAUCAAUCAAUCAAUAUCUCAUUACCUCUCUCUAUU